CUCAAAAUAUUUCAAGCUCGUUGUAAUAUCUUUCACCUUCUGAAUGUACUUCAUCAUAGUAGGGUCUCGGGCUUCAAAUUCAUCUUUGACUUAUCCAACAAUCAGUUGUGAGUCAGUGAAGACCUUCAAACUAUCGAUCUCAAGCUCCUUAGCUAUCUUCAAGCUGGCUAAAAGUGCUUUAUAUUCAGUUUGAUUAUUUGAGGCUUUAAAGUUGAAUCGAAGGACGUAUUCAGUGAAUACCCCUUCAAAAUUUAUGAGUAUAAGGCUGGCUCCACUACCUUAUGCAUUAGAUGCUCUGUCAAUAUGCAACACCCAAGUCAACCUUAGGUCGGGGUUGGGAGUCGUAGCCUCCUUUAUUGUAUUAUCAUCUGUAUCUUCUAGCUUAUUGUCAGAUAUUGUAUAUUCUAUGACAAAGUCGGUCAGAACUUGUGCCUUCAUGGAUGAUCGUGGGCGAUAUUGUAUGUCGAACUCACCAAGUUUCACUGCUCAUUUUGCCAUCCGACUUGACGUAUCAGGUCGAUGUAAGAUCACCUUCAACGGUUGAUCUGUCAAGACCACAAUUGGAUGUGCUUGAAAGUACGGAUGAAGUCAUUGUACCUAUAUGAUUAGGGCGUAGAUCAUUUUCUCUGCUCUUGAGUAUCGGACUUCGACAUUG
This 655-nucleotide long non-coding RNA is filed under the name Elaeis guineensis (African oil palm). RNAcentral describes it as "long non-coding RNA (EGUI_LNC005064)". The record is from RNAcentral. Lineage: Eukaryota; Viridiplantae; Streptophyta; Magnoliopsida; Arecales; Arecaceae.